Long non-coding RNA from Cyanistes caeruleus (blue tit), 4942 nucleotides. RefSeq lists it as uncharacterized. NCBI's taxonomy places the organism in Eukaryota, Metazoa, Chordata, Aves, Passeriformes, Paridae. The record is from RefSeq and is a predicted model, not a curated record.
AUCGCGGUGGUAAAAAUGGCUCUGCACGCCCGGGGCUGUACAGCCUCUUGCGGCUGUGGAGUGCUUCCAGAAGGGAAACCCCAGAGGGGUGGUGUAGUCUCCUUCUCGUCCAGACAUUCCAAACUGACCUGGAUGCUUCCUUCCUGUGUCACCCGCUCGAGGUGACCCUGCCCUGGCAGAGGGAUGAUCACCAGAGGUCCCUCACAAACCUAGUCUAAAAAUCUGUUUAUCUGGCAGAGAUAAACAAAAAAUAACAAAACCCAAAAAACAACAAACAAACAACAACAAAAAACAAAAAAAAAACCCGCAUUGAUGACAAAUAUGAAUUCCAGUGGUGUGUCUCCACAUAUACUCUAUGCAGAGGUUUGAAAGUGAUUGAAAAGAAGGGGUAAAAGGAUGGGUCUGGACAGUGAACCAUCAGCAGUGAAAUUUAAAAUGUGCAUUUCCCUACUGUUGAAGUGUACUGACCAGGUACAGUUUCCUUAUUGACAAAACAAACCAGGGAAUUUCCCAGCCCUGAUUCACAGUGCCCAGGCUGAUUUCACACCUUGGGAGUCCCCCAACCCCAUGCAAAUAAAAAUGUGGUACUUCUGUGGGUUUUUUUUUUCCUCCUUACCAAAUGAAAACAGUACAGUAAGACCAAAACAGGCAAGGGACAAUCUAUUAAUCUCUCACAGGAAUAAACAAAGUUGGAUUUUUGGUACUGACGGUGGUAAUUUAACAAAACAACCUUUCCCACUGAACAUAUAGGUUUUGGAUGGAUAACACUUACAGCCAUUGGUUCAGUAAAAACUUCUAAAAGUCAAAUCUUCAGGAUGGUAUUUUGGUAACCAAAUUAGUUUAAAUUUAAUCAUGCUACCACACUCUUAGUAGGUUAGAAAAUGACAGUGUUUCUGUACCAAAGAGACAACUUGUCACGUAUGGAAAGUGCUGAUAAGCUGUUGGCAUGAGCAGCCCCCUUUCUGAGGUCGCUGCUAGCCUUUCAGUAACAGCAGAUCAGUUUUUUCAACAGCACACAGAGAUUAAUCUGCAGUUUUCCUUGGGAGAGAAAGGUAUUUUCAGUGCAGAUGAAAGGAACAGAGUUCUGUGAGAGGGAUGACAUAAACAGCAGCGUUGUAUUAAUGAGGGCAUUCCUACAGUGAGAUAUGCCUGUGCCUCUCAGAUAUUUAGUGUUCUCUUGGAGAAAAAAUGCAGCUAGGUUAAGAGCACGUACAUUUGGUGCCACUGACCACUAGGAAUUUGCUGCUCCUCAGUAAAAAUAAUGUAUUUUCUAAAAGCCACUGUGACUGAGAGUAGGACUGGCUUUUAGGUUACCUGGUGAGUUUUUAUUUGGCUUUGGGGUCCCCGUCCCCACCCAUGUGUUCUUUUUCAAGAGGUUGAAUUAUUGCUGGAGUUAUUUAUAGGCCGGAGAAAAUGAGUCCUCUUGUUACACUGGGAUUAACACUGCUAAUCUCUGUCUUGGCAUCCUGGAGAGCACAGAGGUCUGCUCCUGGGCAUGGAGCUGGCAAAUAAGUGUGUCAGCAGUGUACACUGAGCUGCCCUUGUGAGUGUGUCAUGGCUGCAGGGCUGGCUGGUCUCCUGACAGGAAUCUCCAGGAGCCAUGCCACCGCUCCCUUACAGUGUUCCACAGCACAUUUUCCCUCAGGCUUAGCACCAAAUCAGUUUUUCCUGUGAGAUACCAGCAUGUCUUGGUGCUAAAGAGUGCCUUUUAUUUAAGUGUAGGUCAAGGAAGUUCAAUAAUAGAGAGGAUUUUGACAACUCACUUAAAAACACAGGCCUGACCCUCCAAGUGGGUAACUGAGUGGUAAUUUUAAAUAUAUGACUAGGCCCUCUCUAUUUUAUUUAAGUUCUCACUUGAGCAGAACAACAUUUCUAGAAGCCAUAUUAAUUUCCAGAAAGGAAGAGGUGUGAGUUGUCUUUCACUGAAGGUAUGAAACCCAAAGUAAACUUUGUUCUCCCUUACUGAGGUGAAACCUCUCCUUUGGUUCAGGCAGAGCAGGGAUGCUUUGGUCUCCUGCAUCUGCAAAGCGUGCAGCAAACCCCACCUAUUUAAUGCAGCACGUGUUUGGCAGUGUGACAAACAGAUCAGAAGUGUGUUUCCACUGCUUAAAAAGCAAACAAAACAAAUUUUAAUACCUUGAAAGUACAAGCAGUUGCUUUCUGGUUGACGUAAAACAGUGGAUGAUCUGAUGGAAACUCUGGUGAAAAAUAACAGAAAAUCAGAAAUACAAAACCUGAAGUUAGGAGAGAUAAGCUACAAAGGUUGAGAAAAUGGGGAAUCAUAAUGUAGAGGCUGCACCAAGGCCAAAAUACCAGUGAUCAUUUGAGGGGGGCAUGAUGGCCUAUGCAGUGUUCUUUUUUCUUAAACCUUCAACUUGAUGAAUUGUGAAAUGAUAGGAGAUACUAAGCUAUCAUUAAAAAAAACUGAAACAAAACAAUAUGACAGUGGAGCCAAUACUGAACUUGUAGUUCAUGAAAACAGAGUCCCAGUCACCUGCUGUGUAUGUCUCCACCACAGUACUGGAACCUUUUGCUUCUUCCUUCCUUUUAUUGCUUGGGGUGUGAAAUGUAGAUACGUUCCUCCUUUUUAACUAGUUGUGUAAUGGCAGAUCUAUGUGGCACAUAAAUGAUCCACUUCCUGGCUCUGUUCAGCACACAGCACACAGCUAUCACUGUGUGAUAACACUAUGUGAAGGUUCUGUCCCAGUUGGUGUCACAGGAGCAGGUCUAGAGGGGUUUUUAAUGCAGCAGUAGCUGUGUUCUCCGUGUCCAGACUGCGAGAGCCAGAGCUUGUGCCAGAGGGCCUACCCAUAACUUUAUUUCCCAGCGCUGGAAAUCUCGGUGCCGGCUGCCUCGGGUGGCCUUGAGCCUCAGAACUCAGACAGGUGUCCUGUCCGUGGGAGCAGAGUAAGGCAGCUUUGAGCAGACUGGCUCACAUCCUUGUGGGAGGAACUUGGUCAUCUAUAAAGUCUGUGCUAGCUGUUUAGCUAGACCACUGUAAAACCUUUAAAGAUUUAUGGAGGAAAGCUCUAGCUGAGAACACUGCUUAAACAUGAAACACCAGGUAUUUCACGUGCACUUGGAGUGUGAAACGUGACGGGACUCUCAGGGAGGAGAUGCAGGUGCUCUUCUGCCUCUGCAGGCAACCUGCAGAGGUGUGAGACUGUUGGGUCAGUGAUCCAGCUGAAAAAAUACUGUAUGCAUCAAUUUACUUCGCUACCAUGAAAUCUGCAAAUAUAAAGAAGGGUCAUGUUGUUUUAGUAGGAGCAAAUGGUCUUCCUUUUCUUGCCAUGGGAACAGAAUCUCUGAAGGCAGUUUGCUCUCAGAAUCGUCUGCUUUUUGAGAGCAAUAGGAUGUGAUUUGUUCCAAGGCAAAGUGUUUUCUGAAGAGGCUGUUACAUGCUUUCCAGAUGGGCUCUGCAUUAUCUGUCCAUACUGUUGGGGUACACUUACACAGCGCUGCCAGCAGCAGGAAGUUGCUAAUGUGCUCGCUCGCGUGGUUGAAAAUGCCUUAAGGUUGUCCUGGUGCACGCUGACAUGUCUUACACCACUGUCUAGACGUGGCCAACAUUACUCUCAGCCGAGAUCGACACAGUCACGGAGACAGAGGAGGUGAGCAGAGCAGUUCCCCGCUGGGGAGCACAGCCACCUGUCAGUGGCUGAGCUUGCUGUCCUUCUUCUCGGCUCCCGUCUACCCGGCGAAGCAGCCACGCUGACGUGGUGCGGUGGGCACACGGCCCAGGCUUUGAUCACAGAUCUGCACGUCAGAGCAGGCUGCAAACCUGGCUCAGCUCCCUUCAGGUGCACACAAAGGUACUCCGUUUGUUGAGGUGUGUGUAUAAACACCCAGGGAAAAGUUACAUUUCUUACCUAGAAGGGUAACUAACGACCAGAGCUGAAACUGAUCCUGCCGAGCAGACAGCAUCAUGUGCUCAGACUCGGGCUAUAAAUCUCUGAGCAGCAUAUGUUGCACUCAUGUUACUGAGACACAGCACGGCCUGCCCUGCUGCUCAUUCACUGGGUGACGCUUGAAAAAAAUCCCUCUGACUGUCUCUUAAUAAAAUGAAAGCAAUAUGUGUCUCUGGAGUCCCAUUUACUGACUUCAGUGGGAGUUGUGCUUGACAAAACAUUGAAUAAGUGUAGGCUUCACCCCUGUAUCAGCCUGUAUUAGAUGACUUGGUGUUACUCUGAGUCAGCAGCUGCUCAAAACCCUCUUUUGAAACCUUGGAGUUUCCCUUUAAGACCCGAUGAGAUCAGUAUCAUUCAGCAGCUCAUUUUACUUCCUCAGCAUUUUCUCACUUCCGCAUUGUACAUGCUGGCAGUCGUGAUCAGAUUGUUUCAAAAUAGCCCUGAAUGCAGGAGAUUUCUGAGCACCCAGCCUGAUCUCACAGCAGCAGUGAGCCAGCAAAUCACUGCUGUGUCAGCUGUUUCUCUGGAUCGGUGUUAGGGUCCUGGGGGGCAAAAGAUGGUCCAGACUCUUUUGCAGAAAGUGUAACACAACAUUCUGCAAAUUGUUGAAUUCUGUUACUUUUUGUGACAAGACAGUGUGCUCUGGAGAGGAUGGAAUUGCAUUAGCCAAACUCUGUCAGUGUCACCAUCUAAAACCUAGAGAAGCUCUCACUGACCAUGAAAUUACACCACCAGUGUAGGGAGCAUACACUGUAAAAACCCCAAAUCAAUCUAAGAAAGCUUCCCAUGCAAUGAUAGGUUUUUGCUUUUCACCAUGCCCCCUCUCACCAGUGAAGUAGUAGUAGAUGUUUGUCUGUCACAUAAAAUUGCAGUUUCACGUGUGCCAGAGCAUGAAGUGCAAGAGCUCAGUUCUUUCCUCCUGCAGUUCUGCUCUCAAUUUCAGAAGAGUUGUGCCUGCUUUACACCAGUCCAAAGAGAAGGGAAUCAGACAUUCCAUCUUCAGGGCUUUUGUUUCAAAGAUAAAUGACUCUGUU